GUCUUGAUGGCGCAGUAGGCAGCGCGUGAGUCUCAUAAUCUCAAGGUCGUGAGUUUGAUCCUCACUCGGGGCA
Molecule: transfer RNA, 73 nt
Filed under: Homarus americanus (American lobster)
Lineage: Eukaryota; Metazoa; Arthropoda; Malacostraca; Decapoda; Nephropidae
Description: tRNA-Met
Rfam family: tRNA
About the family: Transfer RNA (tRNA) molecules are approximately 80 nucleotides in length. Their secondary structure includes four short double-helical elements and three loops (D, anti-codon, and T loops). Further hydrogen bonds mediate the characteristic L-shaped molecular structure. tRNAs have two regions of fundamental functional importance: the anti-codon, which is responsible for specific mRNA codon recognition, and the 3' end, to which the tRNAs corresponding amino acid is attached (by aminoacyl-tRNA synthetases). tRNAs cope with the degeneracy of the genetic code in two manners: having more than one tRNA (with a specific anti-codon) for a particular amino acid; and 'wobble' base-pairing, i.e. permitting non-standard base-pairing at the 3rd anti-codon position.
Source: Rfam by way of RNAcentral